UCGCGGAUCAGCAUGCCGCGGUGAAUACGUUCCCGGGCCUUGUACACACCGCCCGUCACACCAUGGGAGUCGGUAACACCCGAAGCCUGUAGUCUAACCGCAAGGAGGACGCAGUCGAAGGUGGGAUUGAUGACUGGGGUGAAGUCGUAACAAGGUAUC
This 159-nucleotide ribosomal RNA is filed under the name uncultured bacterium. Its description in RNAcentral is "partial 16S ribosomal RNA". It matches the Rfam family "Bacterial small subunit ribosomal RNA", at positions 1342 to 1500 of the family's 1533-position model. The record is from RNAcentral.